RNAcentral lists this ribosomal RNA (429 nucleotides) under uncultured bacterium. RNAcentral's name for it is "bacterial SSU rRNA". It matches the Rfam family "Bacterial small subunit ribosomal RNA", at positions 917 to 1344 of the family's 1533-position model. The record is from RNAcentral.
GGGCCCGCACAAGCGGUGGAGCAUGUGGUUUAAUUCGAUGCAACGCGAAGAACCUUACCUGGUCUUGACAUACACAGAAUCUUGUAGAGAUACGAGAGUGCCUUCGGGAAUUGUGAUACAGGUGCUGCAUGGCUGUCGUCAGCUCGUGUCGUGAGAUGUUGGGUUAAGUCCCGCAACGAGCGCAACCCUUGUCCUUAGUUACCAGCGGGUUAAGCCGGGAACUCUAAGGAUACUGCCAGUGACAAACUGGAGGAAGGCGGGGACGACGUCAAGUCAUCAUGGCCCUUACGACCAGGGCUACACACGUGCUACAAUGGUAGGUACAGAGGGCAGCUACACAGCGAUGUGAUGCGAAUCUCAAAAAGCCUAAUCGUAGUCCAGAUUGUCGUCUGCAACUCGACGGCAUGAAGGUGGAAUCGCUAGUAAUCG